CGAUGGGCCGACGUCGCAUGCUCCGGCCGCCAUGGUUAGAGUUUGAUCAUGGCUCAGAGUGAACGCUGGCGGCAGGCCUAACACAUGCAAGUCGAACGGCAGCACAGAGGAGCUUGCUCCUUGGGUGGCGAGUGGCGGACGGGUGAGGAAUACAUCGGAAUCUGCCUAUUUGUGGGGGAUAACCUCGGGAAACCGGGACUAAUACCGCAUACGACCUACGGGUGAAAGCGGAGGACCUUCGGGCUUCGCGCAGAUAGAUGAGCCGAUGUCGGAUUAGCUAGUUGGAGGGGUAAUGGCCCACCAAGGCGACGAUCCGUAGCUGGUCUGAGAGGAUGAUCAGCCACACUGGAACUGAGACACGGUCCAGACUCCUACGGGAGGCAGCAGUGGGGAAUAUUGGACAAUGGGCGAAAGCCUGACGCAGCCAUGCCGCGUGAAUGAUGAAGGUCUUAGGAUUGUAAAAUUCUUUCACCGGGGACGAUAAUGACGGUACCCGGAGAAGAAGCCCCGGCUAACUUCGUGCCAGCAGCCGCGGUAAUACGAAGGGGGCUAGCGUUGCUCGGAAUUACUGGGCGUAAAGGGCGCGUAGGCGGAUCGUUAAGUCAGAGGUGAAAUCCCAGGGCUCACCCUGGAACUGCCUUUGAUACUGGCGAUCUUGAGUAUGAGAGAGGUAUGUGGAACUCCGAGUGUAAAGGUGAAUUCGUAGAUUUCGGAAGACACCAGUGGCGAAGGCGCAUACUGGCUCAUACUGACCUAAGCGCGAAACGUGGG
RNAcentral lists this ribosomal RNA (771 nucleotides) under uncultured Nitrobacteria sp. Its description in RNAcentral is "partial 16S ribosomal RNA". It matches the Rfam family "Bacterial small subunit ribosomal RNA", at positions 1 to 765 of the family's 1533-position model. The record is from RNAcentral. Lineage: Bacteria; Pseudomonadati; Pseudomonadota; Alphaproteobacteria; Caulobacterales; Caulobacteraceae.